UCCGUUUUGCUUUUGCAGAGUUUAGCACCUGCAGAAUUGGUGUUUUUUAGCCUUCGUAGGCUUUCAUUCCCCACUUUUGCGUGCUCCAUAGCCCUGCUCUGCACGCACCAUGGCUGUCAUGUCAGCAUUCUCUUUCUUCCUGCCUCUCGGUAAAUGAAAGGGUAUUAGCGGCUCUCGGAGGGGAGAUAAGAUGCAGUUUGAAUCAACAGAGUAAUUACAGAAGAAUAUGAUACUAAUGGAGCUGAUCUGAAUGCGUAUCUAAGGAUGAGUGCCGUGGCUCCAUGCCCAGGUGGCGCACCCUUUCCUCACGAUGAGUUAUUUAUGACUUGACACAUCAUUGCUCGGCAGUUUUGUGGCUCAGUUCAUGUCAAUGAUAAAGCAAACUCUGACAAUAUUUUACUUUUUUUACUGAUUCAGGCCUGGCUGCUGAGCAGCCUUCCCAACCGAUACAGCCAUGGCCACCCCCUUCCUAGCAGCAAAAGCUAAAGAAAAGGGCUGAUGCUUUGGGGGCAUCUUUCCUUAAUAAAGAAGAAGGGCUGAGCUCAGGAUACCUAAAGGCACACAUGGCUUCCCAGGAACCUUCAGAGAGCUUGGGAAUGUGCACAUCUUGACUGCUCACCCAGCCAGAGACCUGAGCUGCAGCAGCCUCCUGCUCCAGGUUCUUACAGCAGCUAAAGGCAAGAAGACGAUCAAGAUCCUGGCUCAGUUUUGAUUGCAGUAGCUUGACAGCAUCCCAGUUGCACAGUGAUGCAAGCAUUUGACCUCUUCCCAGCCAGCGUGCCUACACAAUGAUGUUUAGAAAAGUCAUAUCUUAAACCAUAAGAAGAAAGUUCAGAUUUCUUGAUUGCUUUUAAUGGAAGCAUUGAAACCACAAAAUGUGUGUGCCAACGGUGGCAAAAAUAAAAAUAAAAAUCAUCUGAGCCACUAGUUCCCCUAAUGAAACAAUUGGGCACAGCCAGACCCAGGUGUUUGAUGUGGCGGGUCCUUCGCAAGAGGCAUCGUUGUUGAUUUCAGUGCCUGAGCAGCAGACACAAAAUGAUGUUUUUUUGAACUUUGCAGGCCUCAGAAAGCCUCAGAAUGUGCACAGGGAGCUUUAUUUUGGUUAAGGAUUGUACCCAGAGA
This 1122-nucleotide long non-coding RNA is filed under the name Anas zonorhyncha (Eastern spot-billed duck). RNAcentral describes it as "lncRNA (ENSAZOG00000005934.1)". Lineage: Eukaryota; Metazoa; Chordata; Aves; Anseriformes; Anatidae. The record is from RNAcentral.